UACGGGGGGGGCAAGCGUUGUUCGGAAUUACUGGGCGUAAAGGGCUCGUAGGUGGCCAACUAAGUCAGACGUGAAAUCCCUCAGCUUAACUGGGGAACUGCGUCUGAUACUGGAUGGCUUGAGUUCGGGAGAGGGAUGCGGAAUUCCAGGUGUAGCGGUGAAAUGCGUAGAUAUCGGGAGGAACACCGGUGGCGAAGGCGGCAUCCUGGACCGGUAUUGACGCUGAGGCGCGAAAGCUAGGGGAGCAAACGGG
This 253-nucleotide ribosomal RNA is filed under the name uncultured bacterium. RNAcentral describes it as "partial 16S ribosomal RNA". It matches the Rfam family "Bacterial small subunit ribosomal RNA", at positions 524 to 776 of the family's 1533-position model. The record is from RNAcentral.